GUGUUCGUAGCUCCUCCGGCAGAGCGUCCGAGUGUGAUUCGGAAGGCAGCGGGUUCAAGUCCCGCCGAUCACCCCA
RNAcentral lists this transfer RNA (76 nucleotides) under Deinococcus sp. KSM4-11. Its description in RNAcentral is "tRNA-His". It matches the Rfam family "tRNA". From Rfam's summary of the family: Transfer RNA (tRNA) molecules are approximately 80 nucleotides in length. Lineage: Bacteria; Thermotogati; Deinococcota; Deinococci; Deinococcales; Deinococcaceae. The record is from RNAcentral.